Molecule: ribosomal RNA, 496 nt
Filed under: uncultured bacterium
Lineage: Bacteria
Description: partial 16S ribosomal RNA
Rfam family: Bacterial small subunit ribosomal RNA
Source: RNAcentral
GAUGAACGCUGGCGGCGUGCCUAAUACAUGCAAGUCGAGCGAACAGACGAGGAGCUUGCUCCUCUGACGUUAGCGGCGGACGGGUGAGUAACACGUGGAUAACCUACCUAUAGACUGGGAUAACUUCGGGAAACCGGAGCUAAUACCGGAUAAUAUAUUGAAUCGCAUGGUUCAAUAGUGAAAGACGGUUUUGCUUUCACUUAUAGAUGGAUCCGCGCCGCAUUAGCUAGUUGGUAAGGUAACGGCUUACCAAGGCAACGAUGCGUAGCCGACCUGAGAGGGUGAUCGGCCACACUGGAACUGAGACACGGUCCAGACUCCUACGGGAGGCAGCAGUAGGGAAUCUUCCGCAAUGGGCGAAAGCCUGACGGAGCAACGCCGCGUGAGUGAUGAAGGUCUUCGGAUCGUAAAACUCUGUUAUUAGGGAAGAACAAAUGUGUAAGUAACUAUGCACGUCUUGACGGUACCUAAUCAGAAAGCCACGGCUAUCUACGUG